UUUUCACCAGACUAGAAUUUAUAGAUUAUUUGAAUUUAAAAUGAAAACCAAACUCAGACAAAAUAGAAAUCAUUCCAAUUGUUCAAGCUCUUAUUUUUCCUUUAAAAAUUGUACAAGUAAUUCAUAUUUGUUGUUAGAAUAUUAGAGGGUGAAAAUUAGCAAAAACUAAAGGUAAGAUAGAGAAUCUCUGGUAAUGUCUUCCUGCCUCUCAACUCUGCUUCAGUCUUGAGGACAGAGGAGCCUGGUGCGCUACAGUCCACGGGAUCGCAGAGUCGGAUGCAACUAACACAACACCCGAGGCCCUAGUCUCUCUUCAUCUUAUUUGCAGGCCUCUCCAUAUUUUGGCCACCUGAUGAGAAGAGCAGACUGAUUGGAAAAGACCCUGAUGCUGGGGAAGACUGAGGGCAGGAGGAGAAGGGUGUGACAGAGGAUGAGAUGGUUGGAUGGCAUCACCGCCUCAUUGGCCAUGAGUUUGGGCAAGCUACGGGAGAUUGUGAAGGACGGGGAAGGCUGGUGUGCUGCAGUCCAUGGGGUCACGAAGAGCUGGACACGACUGAAUGACUGAACAACAACGACAACUCUAGUCUUUUGAGCUUCCCAAUUUUUAGUGGUAAAAAAUUAGGCUUCCAAUGCAAGAUACUCAAGAGAUGUGAGUUUGAUCCCUGGGUUGGGAAGCUCCCCUGGAGGAGGAAAAGGUAACCCCCUCCAGUAUUCUUGCCUGGAAAAUUCCAUGGGCAGAGUCUGGUGGGCCCCAGUCCAUGGGGUCACGAAGAGUCAGACAUGACAUGAGUGGUCUUUUGGCAUCUUUUAAAAGACGGUCCACACUGUGUUAUUGUCAGUGCUGGCUUAGUCCUGAGCUGCUUUCCAUCUGCGUAAUCUUUUGAGUAAUCUCAUCUGCUCUCAUGAUUGUGGAUUCCAAAAAUAUAAUAUUUACACAAUUGCCUUGUCUUUGUCUGGUAUAAUUGUAGUUGCCCACUAGCUAAAACAGUCAAUUUAAAAUUCUUGUUGUAUGUCAAAAAACAGCACAGAAUGACUUGUUCACAUUUUGAUUGCAUUUACUAAAUAACUGAAUGCUGGAUUUAUCAUCCUUCUUUGCCCUUAUACCAUUUUCCUUUUAACUAUGUUGUGAAUAAAUUUCUAGUUGUACGAGGUAUAAAAAUUAUUAAAGGGAAAGGUAGGGGAAUUUGGGAGAUCUGAUUUCUUUUGGUCUUAAUUACUGACUGUAUUCAAUGUCUAGAUAAUUUGAUUCUGAGAUAAUUCUUGUGAGGUAAAUAUUGUAUAUAUUCU
Long non-coding RNA from Bos taurus (domestic cattle), 1287 nucleotides. NCBI's taxonomy places the organism in Eukaryota, Metazoa, Chordata, Mammalia, Artiodactyla, Bovidae. The record is from Ensembl.